RNAcentral lists this ribosomal RNA (1559 nucleotides) under Escherichia coli. RNAcentral's name for it is "bacterial LSU rRNA". It matches the Rfam family "Bacterial large subunit ribosomal RNA", at positions 1270 to 2812 of the family's 2925-position model. The record is from RNAcentral. Lineage: Bacteria; Pseudomonadati; Pseudomonadota; Gammaproteobacteria; Enterobacterales; Enterobacteriaceae. RNAcentral also lists the same sequence under 1 other name.
AUGCUGGAGGUAUCAGAAGUGCGAAUGCUGACAUAAGUAACGAUAAAGCGGGUGAAAAGCCCGCUCGCCGGAAGACCAAGGGUUCCUGUCCAACGUUAAUCGGGGCAGGGUGAGUCGACCCCUAAGGCGAGGCCGAAAGGCGUAGUCGAUGGGAAACAGGUUAAUAUUCCUGUACUUGGUGUUACUGCGAAGGGGGGACGGAGAAGGCUAUGUUGGCCGGGCGACGGUUGUCCCGGUUUAAGCGUGUAGGCUGGUUUUCCAGGCAAAUCCGGAAAAUCAAGGCUGAGGCGUGAUGACGAGGCACUACGGUGCUGAAGCAACAAAUGCCCUGCUUCCAGGAAAAGCCUCUAAGCAUCAGGUAACAUCAAAUCGUACCCCAAACCGACACAGGUGGUCAGGUAGAGAAUACCAAGGCGCUUGAGAGAACUCGGGUGAAGGAACUAGGCAAAAUGGUGCCGUAACUUCGGGAGAAGGCACGCUGAUAUGUAGGUGAAGUCCCUCGCGGAUGGAGCUGAAAUCAGUCGAAGAUACCAGCUGGCUGCAACUGUUUAUUAAAAACACAGCACUGUGCAAACACGAAAGUGGACGUAUACGGUGUGACGCCUGCCCGGUGCCGGAAGGUUAAUUGAUGGGGUUAGCCGCAAGGCGAAGCUCUUGAUCGAAGCCCCGGUAAACGGCGGCCGUAACUAUAACGGUCCUAAGGUAGCGAAAUUCCUUGUCGGGUAAGUUCCGACCUGCACGAAUGGCGUAAUGAUGGCCAGGCUGUCUCCACCCGAGACUCAGUGAAAUUGAACUCGCUGUGAAGAUGCAGUGUACCCGCGGCAAGACGGAAAGACCCCGUGAACCUUUACUAUAGCUUGACACUGAACAUUGAGCCUUGAUGUGUAGGAUAGGUGGGAGGCUUUGAAGUGUGGACGCCAGUCUGCAUGGAGCCGACCUUGAAAUACCACCCUUUAAUGUUUGAUGUUCUAACGUUGACCCGUAAUCCGGGUUGCGGACAGUGUCUGGUGGGUAGUUUGACUGGGGCGGUCUCCUCCUAAAGAGUAACGGAGGAGCACGAAGGUUGGCUAAUCCUGGUCGGACAUCAGGAGGUUAGUGCAAUGGCAUAAGCCAGCUUGACUGCGAGCGUGACGGCGCGAGCAGGUGCGAAAGCAGGUCAUAGUGAUCCGGUGGUUCUGAAUGGAAGGGCCAUCGCUCAACGGAUAAAAGGUACUCCGGGGAUAACAGGCUGAUACCGCCCAAGAGUUCAUAUCGACGGCGGUGUUUGGCACCUCGAUGUCGGCUCAUCACAUCCUGGGGCUGAAGUAGGUCCCAAGGGUAUGGCUGUUCGCCAUUUAAAGUGGUACGCGAGCUGGGUUUAGAACGUCGUGAGACAGUUCGGUCCCUAUCUGCCGUGGGCGCUGGAGAACUGAGGGGGGCUGCUCCUAGUACGAGAGGACCGGAGUGGACGCAUCACUGGUGUUCGGGUUGUCAUGCCAAUGGCACUGCCCGGUAGCUAAAUGCGGAAGAGAUAAGUGCUGAAAGCAUCUAAGCACGAAACUUGCCCCGAGAUGAGUUCU